RNAcentral lists this ribosomal RNA (481 nucleotides) under uncultured bacterium. RNAcentral describes it as "partial 16S ribosomal RNA". It matches the Rfam family "Bacterial small subunit ribosomal RNA", at positions 28 to 507 of the family's 1533-position model. The record is from RNAcentral.
GAUGAACGCUGGCGGCGUGCUUAACACAUGCAAGUCGAACGAAGCACUUUAUUUGAUUUCCUUCGGGACUGAUUAUUUUGUGACUGAGUGGCGGACGGGUGAGUAACGCGUGGGUAACCUGCCUUUUACAGGGGGAUAACAGUUGGAAACGGCUGCUAAUACCGCAUAAGCGCCCAGCAUCGCAUGAUGCAUUGUGGAAAACUCGGGUGGUAUACGAUGGACGCGCGUUGGAUUAGCUAGUUGGGGAGUUAACGGCCCACCAAGGCGACGAUGCAUAGCCGGGAUGUGAGACAGAGCGGCGACAUCGGGACUGGGACGCAGCCGGAAAUCCUACGCGAGGCAGGAGAGGGGAAUAUUGCACAGUGGGGGAAAGCAUGAUGCAGCGAGGACGCGUGAGCUAUGAUAUAAGUGAAUAAGUAAAGCGCUAUCAGCAGGGAACGUAAUGACGGUACCUGACUAAGAAGCACCGGCUAAAUACGUG